RNAcentral lists this non-coding RNA (71 nucleotides) under Skeletonema menzelii. Lineage: Eukaryota; Bacillariophyta; Thalassiosirophyceae; Thalassiosirales; Thalassiosiraceae. The record is from RNAcentral.
UGAGAAUGUUGUUUGUUAUUCAACUUUUUCUGAUUUGUCAUCGUUUCUUUGUCCCUUUUCUAAUGUGUGUG